This 479-nucleotide ribosomal RNA is filed under the name uncultured bacterium. Its description in RNAcentral is "bacterial SSU rRNA". It matches the Rfam family "Bacterial small subunit ribosomal RNA", at positions 47 to 518 of the family's 1533-position model. The record is from RNAcentral.
CUUAACACAUGCAAGUCGAGGGGCAGCAUAAAAGUAGCAAUACUUGGUGGCGACCGGCGCACGGGUGAGUAACGCGUAUGCAACCUACCUAUCAGAGGGGAAUAACCCGGCGAAAGUCGGACUAAUACCGCAUAAAACAGGGGCACCGCAUGGUGAUAUUUGUUAAAGAAAUUCGCUGAUAGAUGGGCAUGCGUUCCAUUAGGUAGUUGGUGAGGUAACGGCUCACCAAGCCGACGAUGGAUAGGGGAACUGAGAGGUUGGUCCCCCACACUGGUACUGAGACACGGACCAGACUCCUACGGGAGGCAGCAGUGAGGAAUAUUGGUCAAUGGGCGGGAGCCUGAACCAGCCAAGUCGCGUGAAGGAAGAAGGAUCUAUGGUUACGUAAACUUCUUUUGCAGGGGAAUAAAGUGCAGGACGUGUCCUGUUUUGUAUGUACCCUGAGAAUAAGGAUCGGCUAACUCCGUGCCAGCCGCCGC